AGUUAGACUGAAAGAGUGGAGACGUUAACUUGCACGACCGACAAUCAGUGUGAUGCUUAUUCUUGGCGAAACAUCAUGAGGAAACUAGACACGAGUCUUAGACAGACACAAUCGACAUUUUGACACUUUAUAGAUUGUCAUACUGCCGGAAUAAAUCAUUGCGAGCUUUGGCAAUACAGCACUUUGAAAAUUGAUAUGAAUUUGCAUAAAUUUGUUGUACAGACCCGUAACCAAGGGGGGUGCACUGGGUGCACGUGCACCCCCCCAGAGAAGCUGAAGGUCCGCUCAUCUACCUCCAUGUUUUUCAAAAAUCAUAUGAAUCUUUGUUUUAGAUUUAUUUGUCGAAUUUAUCCACGAAUCGACCGGAUUUGUUUUUCAAAACAAACUAUGGAUUCGAACCGAAUUUAUGAAGGACCUUAUUUAAGGUGUAGUUCUAACGCACAAUCAAAAAUAAUAAAUAUAAUCAAAAACGGUAAUAAGUGUUAUAAGUUAUAAUACGCUGGUGUGUAUUUCAUGGGAUUGGGAAAACCACUCCGACUUUAAUUGAUACUAAAAAGGAAGCCAAAGAAUGGUCCGGUUUAAUGAGAUGUGUACCCCCUGGUAGAAGUUCUGGUUACGGCCCUGUUGUAGUUUAUUUACCGCGGAUGUAAAUAAUAAUUUUUGUUUACUUAUUUCUGUACUUCAGAACCUUCURAGGCAACAAUGUUCAAGAAAAAAAUGACUUCAGGACCCUAUGGGAUGUCUGAGACCUCGGGCCCUUCUGAGACAAAAUCGAAGGAAAAAAUGACAACAGGACCUCAGCUGCAUGAAGACGAACCGAUCCCUUAGGAUCUCUUAGGAGUGGGGGUGCUUGACGGAA
Molecule: long non-coding RNA, 859 nt
Organism: Exaiptasia diaphana
Lineage: Eukaryota; Metazoa; Cnidaria; Anthozoa; Actiniaria; Aiptasiidae
Exons: 4
Source: RefSeq, a predicted model, not a curated record